RNAcentral lists this ribosomal RNA (461 nucleotides) under uncultured bacterium. RNAcentral describes it as "bacterial SSU rRNA". It matches the Rfam family "Bacterial small subunit ribosomal RNA", at positions 29 to 533 of the family's 1533-position model. The record is from RNAcentral.
AACGAACGCUGGCGGCAGGCCUAACACAUGCAAGUCGAGCGAACCCUUCGGGGUUAGCGGCGGACGGGUUAGUAACGCGUGGGAAUAUACCCUUUGGUACGGAAUAGCCUCGGGAAACUGAGAGUAAUACCGUAUGUGCCCUUCGGGGGAAAGGAUUUAUCGCCAAAGGAUUAGCCCGCGUUGGAUUAGAUAGUUGGUGGGGUAAUGGCCUACCAAGUCUACGAUCCAUAGCUGGUUUGAGAGGAUGAUCAGCAACACUGGGACUGAGACACGGCCCAGACUCCUACGGGAGGCAGCAGUGGGGAAUCUUAGACAAUGGGCGCAAGCCUGAUCUAGCCAUGCCGCGUGGACGAUGAAGGCCUUAGGGUUGUAAAGUCCUUUCAGAUGGGGAAGAUAAUGACGGUACCAUCAGAUGAAGCCCCGGCUAACUCCGUGCCAGCAGCCGCGGUAAAGUACAGUGU